AAGUUUAGAAAUAUGUAGUUAAGUAGUUAUGUUCCAUCAAGUUUCAGCCUCUUCGUGGCAAUAGUCAAAAUAUAAAUGUCGCCUCUUGGGUAUAUCUAGAUCGAACUUCAUCCAUACUUUGUGGAGCUUGUUGACUAUCAAAAUAAAAUUGUGAAGGUUAAGUUUCAAAAUUUGAGAACAUUAUUAUGCUUCUUAGGAAAAAAAAUUAGAAACAUUGUUGCAUAGAACAAAUGUUUUUUAGAACCUCAGUUAUGAGAAUCAGUUGAUUGUCUGGACUAAAAGAUGUUACUAAAUGUAUCUCUGUAUUGCUUGAUGGAUUUCUAUAUGGGUACUUCUAAGGUAGUAAGAGGCCAAGGUAAGGGAAAUCCUGCUAGUUGCCAUGCAUUUCUUGUCUUUAUGAAAAUCUUUAGUACCAGGUGCAAAAAGGUGACUUAUUAAAAUAAGUACGUUAGAUUAGGAGGCUUUUAAUUUAAUGUUGUGGAGAAGUUUUUCAUGUGCAGAUUAAGACUUGAAACAGGGAUGAAGUCUGGAUAGCAAAAGCAACAGCCAAAGAACGUGCAGAAAUUUUCUUGUAUUUUCAUAGACUUAACAUCUAAUUCUCUUCCUAGACUGGAGAAAAAUAUUGGAGUUGACAGGUGUUGGUGUCAAUGUUCGCAUAUGGACUGUGUAGGUCAAGGUUGUGGAAGUAUCAAGAUAUUAUAGGUUUUGCAUCAAGAAUGAUGCAGCCUUAAGAUGCAUGGGAGUGAUGACAUAACACAACUCUGCAUAAAAUCAGCCGCCAUAAUUGCCUAAUUGAAUCCAAUGGACCUACUUGAGAUGACACAGUGAAGAUGAUAAAUGUGCGACAUGUUUGAUAGAGGAUGGGAAGGAGCUACAUAUUGACAUUCUUAUCAAGAUCAACAAGAACAAAGUCUUCGACUCUUUUAUGUGUUAAGCUAGUAUAUAUGUUCAAUUGUGAACCAUGGCCGCAAUGAUUAACAUCUGAAUGAUCAUCAUCAUGGGACCAAACAAUCAAAGUGGCAAUCUUGGAAGGUGCUUGUUGUGGCAAUUCCAAGAAUGGUUGUCUUUAUAGGGAAG
Molecule: long non-coding RNA, 1077 nt
Organism: Elaeis guineensis (African oil palm)
Lineage: Eukaryota; Viridiplantae; Streptophyta; Magnoliopsida; Arecales; Arecaceae
Source: RefSeq, a predicted model, not a curated record